GGGGGAUUAGCUCAGUUGGGAGAGCGUUUGCAUGGCAUGCAAAAGGUCAGGGGUUCGAAUCCCCUAUCCUCCACCA
Molecule: transfer RNA, 76 nt
Filed under: Candidatus Scalindua arabica
Lineage: Bacteria; Pseudomonadati; Planctomycetota; Candidatus Brocadiia; Candidatus Brocadiales; Candidatus Scalinduaceae
Also listed under: 3 other names
Description: tRNA-Ala
Rfam family: tRNA
About the family: Transfer RNA (tRNA) molecules are approximately 80 nucleotides in length. Their secondary structure includes four short double-helical elements and three loops (D, anti-codon, and T loops).
Source: RNAcentral